UUUUUUAUCCCCUUUAUUUUUAUUAUUAUGAAAAUAUUCCCAACAUAGACUCUUGUUAUUUUUUUCUCUAUUAUUUUAUCAUGCUUUGUUUCAUGUCAUUUGAACAAUUUUUCAUGGACUUAUGAGGUAUUGAACCUAGUGGCUAAUGAAGUCUAUAACUAUCAUGAUAUUGGAUUGAUUAGGGUUGCUCGAGCCUCCUAUGUUUCAAACCUACUAAUGAA
Molecule: long non-coding RNA, 221 nt
Filed under: Lathyrus oleraceus (garden pea)
Lineage: Eukaryota; Viridiplantae; Streptophyta; Magnoliopsida; Fabales; Fabaceae
Description: Pisum sativum (pea) long non-coding RNA (PSAT_LNC022717)
Source: RNAcentral